Castor canadensis (American beaver) is the source of this 303-nucleotide non-coding RNA. NCBI's taxonomy places the organism in Eukaryota, Metazoa, Chordata, Mammalia, Rodentia, Castoridae. The record is from RefSeq and is a predicted model, not a curated record.
UGCAGAGCAUGUUCUCUAUGUUCUCUUCACAUGGUUCAGUAGUGUUGACAGCUUCUGUGAGUCUGCAUGGUGUGAUUCGCAUGAGGCUGAUAGACCAGAGAACAAGCUGAAAAAGGCACUCACCUACAUCCUUCACACGUGGCUUAACAUGUACUGGGAGGAUUUCUAUGAACCUAGUGAGUUUCCCUGCCUCAAAUUGAUGGUAGCGUACUUGAACCUCCAUAUGCCUGGUUCAGAGGAGAUGCACCUGGCCCAACAUCUCUUGUUUCAGUGGGAGUUUCUGGAGCCCAGUGAAACAGCCUA